AAGUCGUAACAAGGUUUCCGUAGGUGAACCUGCGGAAGGAUCAUUAAUGAAAUGUUAGGACGCUCUUUUUAGAGGUCCGACCAACUCAUUUUACCUUUCACACUGUGCACAUCACUACUUUUUUACACCCAUUUUUAAACACUACAAAGUCUAAGAAUGUAAAACAGUCUCUUAACUGAGCAUAAACAUAAACAAAACUUUCGGCAACGGAUCUCUUGGCUCUC
RNAcentral lists this unclassified non-coding RNA (224 nucleotides) under air metagenome. Its description in RNAcentral is "partial contains small subunit ribosomal RNA, internal transcribed spacer 1, and 5.8S ribosomal RNA". The stretch from base 1 to 46 matches the Rfam family "Eukaryotic small subunit ribosomal RNA", at positions 1786 to 1831 of the family's 1831-position model. The record is from RNAcentral.